CUGCUCACUCCAGCAGCACAUAUACUAAAAUUAGAAAGAUACAGAAGAUUAGUAUGGUCCCUACACAAGGAGGACAGGAAAAUUCAUGAAGUGUUACAUACUUUU
Molecule: small nuclear RNA, 105 nt
Filed under: Dasypus novemcinctus (nine-banded armadillo)
Lineage: Eukaryota; Metazoa; Chordata; Mammalia; Cingulata; Dasypodidae
Source: RNAcentral